GACGAACGCUGGCGGCGUGCUUAACACAUGCAAGUCGAACGGAAAGGCCCUGCUUUUGUGGGGUGCUCGAGUGGCGAACGGGUGAGUAACGCGUGAGUAACCUGCCCUUGACUUUGGGAUAACUUCAGGAAACUGGGGCUAAUACCGGAUAGGAGCUCCUGCUGCAUGGUGGGGGUUGGAAAGUUUCGGCGGUUGGGGAUGGACUCGCGGCUUAUCAGCUUGUUGGUGGGGUAGUGGCUUACCAAGGCUUUGACGGGUAGCCGGCCUGAGAGGGUGACCGGCCACAUUGGGACUGAGAUACGGCCCAGACUCCUACGGGAGGCAGCAGUGGGGAAUAUUGCACAAUGGGCGGAAGCCUGAUGCAGCAACGCCGCGUGCGGGAUGACGGCCUUCGGGUUGUAAACCGCUUUCGCCUGUGACGAAGCAUGAGUGACGGUAAUGGGUAAAGAAGCACCGGCUAACUACGUG
RNAcentral lists this ribosomal RNA (468 nucleotides) under uncultured bacterium. RNAcentral describes it as "partial 16S ribosomal RNA". It matches the Rfam family "Bacterial small subunit ribosomal RNA", at positions 28 to 507 of the family's 1533-position model. The record is from RNAcentral.